UGGGGAAUAUUGGACAAUGGGCGAAAGCCUGAUCCAGCCAUGCCGCGUGUGUGAAGAAGGUCUUCGGAUUGUAAAGCACUUUAAGUUGGGAGGAAGGGCAGUAAGCGAAUACCUUGCUGUUUUGACGUUACCGACAGAAUAAGCACCGGCUAACUCUGUGCCAGCAGCCGCGGUAAUACAGAGGGUGCAAGCGUUAAUCGGAAUUACUGAGCGUAAAGCGCGCGUAGGUGGUUCGUUAAGUUGAAUGUGAAAGCCCCGGGCUCAACCUGGGAACUGCAUCCAAAACUGGCGAGCUAGAGUAGGGCAGAGGGUGGUGGAAUUUCCUGUGUAGCGGUGAAAUGCGUAGAUAUAGGAAGGAACACCAGUGGCGAAGGCGACCACCUGGGCUCAUACUGACACUGAGGUGCGAAAGCGUGGGGAGCAAACAGG
Molecule: ribosomal RNA, 429 nt
Filed under: Pseudomonadota bacterium
Lineage: Bacteria; Pseudomonadati; Pseudomonadota
Description: Proteobacteria bacterium partial 16S ribosomal RNA
Rfam family: Bacterial small subunit ribosomal RNA
Source: RNAcentral